UGAGAAUAGGGACCGGGGUGUCUGAUUUGU
RNAcentral lists this non-coding RNA (30 nucleotides) under Mus musculus (house mouse). The record is from RNAcentral. Lineage: Eukaryota; Metazoa; Chordata; Mammalia; Rodentia; Muridae.